RNAcentral lists this ribosomal RNA (253 nucleotides) under uncultured bacterium. Its description in RNAcentral is "partial 16S ribosomal RNA". It matches the Rfam family "Bacterial small subunit ribosomal RNA", at positions 524 to 776 of the family's 1533-position model. The record is from RNAcentral.
UACGGAGGGUGCAAGCGUUAAUCGGAAUUACUGGGCGUAAAGCGCGUGCAGGCGGCCUUGUAAGUCGGACGUGAAAUCCCACGGCUCAACCGUGGAAGGGCAUUCGAAACUGCGAGGCUGGAGUCCUGGAGAGGAAAGUGGAAUACUCGGUGUAGAGGUGAAAUUCGUAGAUAUCGAGUGGAACACCGGUGGCGAAGGCGGGUCUCUGGGCCGAUACUGACGCUGAGGAGCGAAAGCGUGGGGAGCGAACAGG